RNAcentral lists this transfer RNA (76 nucleotides) under Acidobacteriota bacterium. RNAcentral describes it as "Acidobacteria bacterium (groundwater metagenome) tRNA-His". It matches the Rfam family "tRNA". Rfam says of the family: Transfer RNA (tRNA) molecules are approximately 80 nucleotides in length. Their secondary structure includes four short double-helical elements and three loops (D, anti-codon, and T loops). Further hydrogen bonds mediate the characteristic L-shaped molecular structure. tRNAs have two regions of fundamental functional importance: the anti-codon, which is responsible for specific mRNA codon recognition, and the 3' end, to which the tRNAs corresponding amino acid is attached (by aminoacyl-tRNA synthetases). tRNAs cope with the degeneracy of the genetic code in two manners: having more than one tRNA (with a specific anti-codon) for a particular amino acid; and 'wobble' base-pairing, i.e. permitting non-standard base-pairing at the 3rd anti-codon position. Lineage: Bacteria; Pseudomonadati; Acidobacteriota. The record is from RNAcentral.
GUGGGUGUAGCUCAGCUGGCAGAGCGCUGGAUUGUGGUUCCAGUGGCCGAGGGUUCGAAUCCCUCCACCCACCCCA